GGCUCCGUACUUUAGAAAAAGGUUUAAUUUGCACUUAAUAAUCAAGGACACACCCUUCGGAGCUC
This 65-nucleotide transfer RNA is filed under the name Margaritifera margaritifera (freshwater pearlshell mussel). RNAcentral's name for it is "tRNA-Ala". Lineage: Eukaryota; Metazoa; Mollusca; Bivalvia; Unionida; Margaritiferidae. The record is from RNAcentral.